This 330-nucleotide long non-coding RNA is filed under the name Nicotiana benthamiana. RNAcentral describes it as "long non-coding RNA (NBEN_LNC041054)". The record is from RNAcentral. Lineage: Eukaryota; Viridiplantae; Streptophyta; Magnoliopsida; Solanales; Solanaceae.
AUUUCAAUGGCUGUGGCCCCAAAUCCAUGUAUUCCAUAGCUUGAAAUCAUGGAAUUCCAUGCAACAACAUCCCUCUUGCCCAUCUGAUCAAACACUCUUCGUCCCAAUUCUAGAGCACCACACCUGGCAUACAUUGUCACAAGGGCACUGAGAACGGGCAAAAUAGAGUCUAGCCCUUUCCUAUUUAUGUAGGCAUACAUUGUCACAAGGGCACUGAUAACGGGCAAAAUAGAGUCAAGCCCUUUCCUAAUUAUGUAUCCAUGUAAUAGCUUCCCCUGCUCUAGUGCAGCCAGUGCUGCACAAGCUUGAAGAACACUAACCAUAGUUACU